GAAAAAAGUUAAAAGAGGAAUGAAGAAUCAACCAGAUUCAGUCACAAAACACAAGGAUAAAAAGUCCAUCACUUAACAUAUUGAGGUUAACGUGGGAGAAAAUUCUCAGUGCAUCACAGUAAAAGGCAAAUGAUACUGGAAGCUUUCUUUGGUCUCAACAAAAGAUGCAAUGCACAUAAAGUCCAUUCCACCCUCUUCAAGCUUAAACAACGAAAGCAAGAAUACGUUUCCUUCUACUCCCCAAUUCAUUCACUUCUACAGCCCACUGCCUAGAAAGUGUGAAAAAAAAAUGGUUCAUGCCCAAGACAGUAACUUUAACUAAAAUUUCACACCAAAUCCAUUGAUUAACCUUUUUUCUUCUUCUCUCCAGUAGAGCCUAAUCCAAUACCACCCCGUAAAUUUCUUGAACUAUCCAGCUGACCGAAGAUCGCCGUAGAAUU
This 440-nucleotide unclassified non-coding RNA is filed under the name Hevea brasiliensis (rubber tree). The record is from RNAcentral. Lineage: Eukaryota; Viridiplantae; Streptophyta; Magnoliopsida; Malpighiales; Euphorbiaceae.